UUAAGCAAUAUAUUAUGUGAUUAUCCUAAUUAUGUUCAUCUCAAAUUUAUUUUUGGGUGAAGUAGGAGUCUAAAUUAUUUUUUCCAAUUAUCUAAACAAAAAUUUUUAAGUAAAGUAUCUGUUUCUUACUGAUUUUUAUAUAGUGAUGGUUAAUAUUGAGUGUCAACUUGAUUGGAUUGGACAAUGCAAAGUAUGGUUCCUGGGUGUGUCUGUGAGGAGAUUAACAUUUGAAUCAGUAGACAGGAGAGGCAGACCCACCCUCAAUCUGGGUGGGCACCAUCUAAUCAGCUGCCAGCAUAAAAGCAGGCAUGGAAAGAGCAGACUGGUUGAGUCGUCUGGCCUCCAUCUUUCUCCUAUGCUGGAUGCUUCCUGCCCUCGAACAUCGGACUCCCAAGUUUUUCGGUUUUUGGACUCUUGUACAUACACCAGUGGUUUGUCAAGGGCUCUUAGGCCUUUGGCCACAGACUGAAAGCUGCACUUUCAGCUUACUACUUUCCAGGUUUUAGGACUCAGACUGGCUUCCUGGUUCCUCAGUUUGCAGAUGGCCUAUUUUGGGACUUCACCUUGUGAUCCUAAGUGGGGAGCUGCUGUAAAGAUGUGGAUAACAGGCAGAGGCUGGAACUGUUUGGAGGGUUCAGAAGAAGAUAGAAAAAUGUGGGACACUUUGGAACUUCCUAGAGACUUGGAGUGCUCAGAAGACAGAAAGAUGUGAGAAAAUUUGGAAGUUCCUAGAGACUUGUUGAAUGGCUUUGGCCAAAAUGCUGAUAGUGAUAUGGGCAAUAAAGUCCAGGCUGAGGUGGUCUCAGAUGGAGAUGAGGAACUUGCUGGGAACUGGAGUAAAGGUCAGUCUUGCUAUGCAGAGACUGGCAGCAUUUUGCCCCUGCCCUAGAUAUCUAUGGAACUUUGAACUUGAGAGAGAUGAUUAAUGGUGUCUGGCAGAAGAAAUUGCUAAGUGGCAAAGCAUUCAAAGGGAAGCAGCACAUAAAAAUUUGGAAAAUACACAGCCUAAUGAUGUGAUAGAAAAGAAAAAUAAAUUUUGAAGAGAAAUUCAAGCUGGCUGCAGAAAUGUGCAUAAGCAAAGAGGAGCCAAAUGUUAAUCCCUAAGACAAUGGGAAAUAUGUCUCCAGGGCAUGCCAGAGGUCUUCAUGCCAGCCCCUCCCAUCACAGGCCUGGAUGUCUAGGAGGAAAAAAUAGUUUCAUGGGCUAGGCCCAGGGCCUUGCUGCUUUGUGCAGUCUCAGGACUUGGUGUUCUGUGUCCCAGCCAUGGCUAAAAGGGGCCAAUGUAGAGCUCAGGUCAUUGCUUCAGAGGGUGCAAGCCCCAAGCCUUGGUGGAUUUCACAGGAUGUUGUGCCUUCCAGUGCACAAAAACCAGGAAUUUAGGUUUAAGAACCUGUGCCUAGAUUUCAGAAGUUGUAUGGGAAUGCCUGGAUGUCCAGGCCAAAGUCUGUUACAAGGGCAGAGCCCUAAUAGAGAACCUCUGCUAGGGCAGUGCAGAAUGGAAAUGUGAGGUUGGAGCCCCCACAGUGUGCCCACUGGGGCACUGCCUACUGGAGUUGUAAGAAGAGGGUCACUGUCCUCCAGACUUCAGAAUGGUUCAGAUCCACCAAUAGCUUGCACUGUGCUCAUGGAAAAGCUGCAGACACUUAAUGCCAGCCAUGAAAGUAUCAGGAGUGGGGCUGUACCCUACAAAGCCACAGGGAUGGAGCUGCCCAAGGCCAUGGUAGCCCACCUCUUGCAUCAGCAUGACCUGGAUGUGAGACAUGGAGUCAAAGGAAAUAAUUUCAGAGCUUUACAAUUUGACUGCUCCAUUGUAUUUUGGACUUACAAGGGGCCUGUAGCCCCUUUGUUUUGGCUAAUUUCUCCUAUUUGGAAUGGGUGUAUUUACCCAAUGCCUGUACAACCAUUAUAUCUAGGAAGUAACUAACUUACUUUUCAUCUUACAGGCUCAUAGGUGGAAGGGACUUACCUUUUCUCAGAUGAGACUUUGGACUGUGGACUUUUGAGUUAAUGGUGAAAUGAAUUAAGACUUUUGGGGACUUUUGGGAAGGCAUGAUUCAUUUUGAAAUGUGAGAACAUGAGAUUUGGGAGGGGCUUGGGCAGAAUGAUAUGGUUUGGCUGUGUCCCACCUAAAUCUCACCUUGAAUUGUAAUAAUCCCCAUGUAUCAAGAGCUGGGCCAAGUGGAGAUAAAUGAAUCAUGGGGGCGGUUUCCCCAAUACUGUUCUUGUGGUAGUGAAUGAGUCUCAGAAGAUCUGAUGGUUUUAUAAAUGGGAGUUCCCCUGCACAAGCUGUCUUGCCUGCCACCAUGUAAGAUGUGCCUUUGUGUCUCCUUUGUUUUCCACCAUGAUUGUGAGGCCUCCACAGCCAUGUGGAACUGUGAGUAUAUUAAAUCUCCUUCCUUAUAAAUUA
Molecule: long non-coding RNA, 2407 nt
Organism: Pan troglodytes (chimpanzee)
Lineage: Eukaryota; Metazoa; Chordata; Mammalia; Primates; Hominidae
Exons: 2
Source: RefSeq, a predicted model, not a curated record